CUUGGCAAGCGACAAUGACAAUGGUCGCAUUCGAGUUGUUGUUGUUGCUGCUGCUGCUGCCACAAAAGGCAGCCGCAGGGCAAUUGGCUGGCAGGUGUUGCAAGCCAUAAUUCAUAGUUGGCUGCUCAGUUCCUCGUGCUCGUGACAUGCAACAUGACUAACAGCCCUGCCGGUGGGCGAUCGCGGUUGCCAUUUGUCAUAAUUGGACGCGCGUGGAAGAUGCGCUCCCAACUUCCUUGUUGGCUGCCUGUCAAUGGGUGGCAAAUGACUGGAGCUGACAAAAAGUUGGCCAAACAAAGCGCACACAACACACAUUUUUUUGUGUGCCACAGCCUGAAACAACAACAAGUAGAUACUGCAGGCACAGUGGUAGUGUGUCCGCAUAUUGACGAAAUCAUUUUGGGCAAAAAUUAGCGUAGCCGGAUCCUUAAAUUUCGACAGUUAAUUGGCAUAUUAAACACAAUUUGCUAAGCAGCCUAAAAACUGUCUGGCAGCAUUUAAAAUCUCAUAAAAGCCUGAGCACGUCUGAGCGCAUUAUAUAAAAGAUCUGAUGGGAAUUUAAGCUAAUUGGCGUGGAAAAACUAAGCAAAUGAAAAGUUGGCUUGCGGUCUGCAUGUGAAGACCUUCAAGGCGAUAAGCAUCUGUAAAGCGAACCACUGUGCAGCGUCUUUUUGCCUUUUGGUUGUUACAAGCGGAACAACAGUUGAAAGCAAUAAAACUUGCACAAAAAAAUCACAAAAAGGCGGCGCACGACAAAAUGCACGCAAAUGUUGCAGUUGCAACACAUACACAUACACAUACACAGACACGGAGAUAGACAAAUAAAUGCCAUAAAGAAACGCUGAAUGAAUUAACAUACUUGUUGAUGAGCCGAACCACACACAGGCUGGAAGAUUCGCACGCACAUAAAAUAACUUAAUUUACAUUGGAGCUGCUGCUAGUCGCCGCCUCCGCCUCCGCCUCCUCGCAGGCUGUUGGAGUACUUAG
Drosophila montana is the source of this 987-nucleotide long non-coding RNA. RefSeq lists it as uncharacterized. The record is from RefSeq and is a predicted model, not a curated record. Lineage: Eukaryota; Metazoa; Arthropoda; Insecta; Diptera; Drosophilidae. The transcript has 2 exons.